Amphimedon queenslandica is the source of this 710-nucleotide long non-coding RNA. RefSeq lists it as uncharacterized. The transcript is spliced from 2 exons. The record is from RefSeq and is a predicted model, not a curated record. NCBI's taxonomy places the organism in Eukaryota, Metazoa, Porifera, Demospongiae, Haplosclerida, Niphatidae.
CAUGCCAUGGCAGCUUCCAAUUCUACAGCAAGUACUAGUGCUACAGUUAUUUCAUGUUACGAAUGUGGGAAAGAUAUUUCAGGGAAGAAAACUCGAUAUAAUAUGUUCAGCUCUUGUUUUAAAUCUAUGGAAGUAUGGAAGAGACUGGUUUCAGACAGAUAGGUCGAGUUAGCUAUUGAUAUUGAUGCCCAAGAACUCUUAUCUGAUCCUGAUGGAACAGUAGGGAAGAUACAUGUGCUGUAACAUAUUAAACACCAAUUAAUAUAAUAGGUAGAAUGUGUCCUCAAUGCUGUAAAGCUUUAGCAAGGUUUCAAGAUUUAGAAAAGAGCACUAAGCAGUCGCGACGCCAACGGUAAGCUCACGUGAAUUUUAUUUUCCAAGUGACGUCAUAAUGGCUGCCAAGUGAUGGCUAAAGCUGUGUUUAGUUUUGUGCAGUUUACAAGAUGGUGGGUAGUCUAUAGCUCUAAAAAGCAAACUCAAACUUGAAGCAAAAAGAUUCCACACUCAGGAUCAUUAAUCAAGUCAUUUUACCUCAAUAGAAUUGUUUGAAAUCCUUUUAGAGCUAGAUUUUAUACUUGUCAUUAUAGUCAUAUUAUGUGCCAUUGACUUUCAGAGACCACAGCAUCCUUAUUUCUUGCUGGAACAACUUUAAACUUCUGGAGUAUAUUCUUCUAGCUACUAUCUUGUUGUAAGCAAAUGGACAAGAAGCU